GUGUGUGCUCGGCAGUCUGUCUGUAUGUGUAUUUAGCAGUCUGUCUGUGUACUUAGCAGUCUGUCUGUAUUUAGCAGACUGCUGAGUACACAGUCUGCUGAAUACACACACAGACAGACUGCUAAAUAC
Pelobates cultripes (western spadefoot toad) is the source of this 129-nucleotide non-coding RNA. The record is from the annotation of a GenBank genome assembly. Lineage: Eukaryota; Metazoa; Chordata; Amphibia; Anura; Pelobatidae.